RNAcentral lists this long non-coding RNA (321 nucleotides) under Brachypodium distachyon (stiff brome). Its description in RNAcentral is "long non-coding RNA (BDIS_LNC002598)". Lineage: Eukaryota; Viridiplantae; Streptophyta; Magnoliopsida; Poales; Poaceae. The record is from RNAcentral.
CGGUUUAUCAUCGUUGUAGCCUAGUAGGUAUGGUUGGUGGGAAACCUUUUACAUAUGUGUUAUUUAUAGGAAAAGAACGGUGAUGCCUUCCCUUUGGAGGUGCCACAACUGGAGCUCCAUGGUUCAUCCGAUGUGUAUUUACAGGUACGGAAUGGCGAUGCCUUCCUUUUGAAGGUGCUGCAACUGGAAUGCCAUUGGCCUUCCCAUGGUUGGCAGGAUGGAGUGUUGUUGCUGAAGAAGCUGCUGCUCCUGCACAAUGUAUUAGAACAAAUAUUUGAUAUUCAUUCCCCAGCAGAUGUAUUUCCUGUAUGAAUACUGAGA